UACGUAGGGGGCAAGCGUUGUCCGGAUUUAUUGGGCGUAAAGAGCGUGUAGGCGGCUAGGUAGGUCCGUUGUGAAAACUCGAGGCUCAACCUCGAGACGUCGAUGGAAACCAUCUAGCUAGAGUCCGGAAGAGGAGAGUGGAAUUCCUGGUGUAGCGGUGAAAUGCGCAGAUAUCAGGAAGAACACCCGUGGCGAAGGCGGCUCUCUGGUACGUGACUGACGCUGGGACGCGAAAGCGUGGGGAGCGAACAGG
This 253-nucleotide ribosomal RNA is filed under the name uncultured bacterium. RNAcentral's name for it is "partial 16S ribosomal RNA". It matches the Rfam family "Bacterial small subunit ribosomal RNA", at positions 524 to 776 of the family's 1533-position model. The record is from RNAcentral.